AAGUAUUUGAUAGGUAGCUGAGUAAUUAUUCUAUCGAACUGUAUCAGUGGACCGGAGUCUGACAAAUAAGAGGAAUUUUAAUUAAUUACCCCUAAUUGCCGCAGCCCAGGGGCGGCAUAUUAGCAAUCGGGAAACUUUUGUACCCGCACGCAGGACAUGCGAAGCGUCUAGACUAGAUUUCUCUUCAUUUAUCUCAGAAAUUAAAACUAAAGGUUUUUAAAGAAAUCGAUAGAAUUGGAGAGAAAAUCAAAAACAGGAGAUAGAAAAAGAAUCUAUAUUAAUUAUUUAACGAAACAUGCUCAG
Molecule: long non-coding RNA, 303 nt
Organism: Manduca sexta (tobacco hornworm)
Lineage: Eukaryota; Metazoa; Arthropoda; Insecta; Lepidoptera; Sphingidae
Exons: 3
Source: RefSeq, a predicted model, not a curated record